RNAcentral lists this ribosomal RNA (290 nucleotides) under Limosilactobacillus fermentum. RNAcentral describes it as "Lactobacillus fermentum partial 16S ribosomal RNA". It matches the Rfam family "Bacterial small subunit ribosomal RNA", at positions 959 to 1250 of the family's 1533-position model. Lineage: Bacteria; Bacillati; Bacillota; Bacilli; Lactobacillales; Lactobacillaceae. The record is from RNAcentral.
ACGCGAAGAACCUUACCAGGUCUUGACAUCUUGCGCCAACCCUAGAGAUAGGGCGUUUCCUUCGGGAACGCAAUGACAGGUGGUGCAUGGUCGUCGUCAGCUCGUGUCGUGAGAUGUUGGGUUAAGUCCCGCAACGAGCGCAACCCUUGUUACUAGUUGCCAGCAUUAAGUUGGGCACUCUAGUGAGACUGCCGGUGACAAACCGGAGGAAGGUGGGGACGACGUCAGAUCAUCAUGCCCCUUAUGACCUGGGCUACACACGUGCUACAAUGGACGGUACAACGAGUCGC